This 443-nucleotide ribosomal RNA is filed under the name uncultured bacterium. Its description in RNAcentral is "partial 16S ribosomal RNA". It matches the Rfam family "Bacterial small subunit ribosomal RNA", at positions 338 to 795 of the family's 1533-position model. The record is from RNAcentral.
CCUACGAUGUGCUGCAGUGGGGAAUAUUGGGCAAUGGGCGCAAGCCUGCCCCAGCAACGCCGCGUGAAGGACGAAGGCUUUCGGGUUGUAAACUUCUUUUCUCAGGGACGAAGCAAGUGACGGUACCUGAGGAAUAAGCCACGGCUAACUACGUGCCAGCAGCCGCGGUAAUACGUAGGUGGCAAGCGUUAUCCGGAUUUACUGGGUUGAAAGGGCGUGUAGGCGGGACUGCAAGGCAGAUGUGAAAACCACGGGCUCAACCUGUGGCCUGCAUUUGAAACUGUAGUUGUUGAGUACUGGAGAGGCAGACGGAAUUACCAGUGUAGCGGUGAAAUGCGUAGAUAUUAGGAGGAACACCAGUGGCGAAGGCGGUCUGCUGGACAGCAACUGACGCUGAGGCGCGAAAGCGUGGGGAGCAAACAGGAUUAGAUACCCGGGUAGUC